CUGCGUCGAUGUGCGUUUUUUUUUUUUUUUGGAUCGCCGAAAUAAAAUUUACUAAUCGCUGAAGUCUAUGCUAACGUUACGACUUCACAGUUUGACUUGUAUGGCGUCAAAGAAGACUUCGUCUAUCCUACGAGACAUGGCAUGAAAACCGAAAGCUAAUCGAAAAUCAAGGAAGAAAAACUUUCAGAGCAGUGGUGGCCUUAUACUUUUGACCUGUACUGUAUAAUCUUGGACAUUCCAAAAUUGGAAUGGGAUAUUCUGUUCCUGGUUCAAGAUUGGGGGAUAGAAAACAAUCUGUCUGGCUGCACAGUUAAAGUUGUGACAAAGAAGCUGACUGGAGCUUGGAGCACUGACUCAUUUGAAAAAUCCAGGUUCAUAAGGUAAAAGACCUCCCCAGUAUAUUGCUCCAUUCACCUGUAUUUGCUAAUUAGCACAAUUCUUCAGCCAGGAGGUUUAACUACUUGGAAGAAACACAUGGCUGGAUUUUCACUUUCUGACCCCCAGACUUUCCACCUCUGUUCAUCUGGCCCAUUUAUCAGGGGUGGGCUAUACAUGUGCACAAAUACAUGUUCACUUGCCAUGGCCCUUAGUUUGUGAACACCUAAUGCAUGAAGUUUGCCCACCUUAACAAAGCAGUGCUUUCACCUGGUCAGGUUUGACAUUUAUUGUCUUUAGUGACUUCAUCUGUCUAAAGUACAUUUCAGCUGAAACAGAAUAUUUCCCUUUUUUCUGACACAUCUA
Long non-coding RNA from Anguilla rostrata (American eel), 741 nucleotides. RefSeq lists it as uncharacterized. NCBI's taxonomy places the organism in Eukaryota, Metazoa, Chordata, Actinopteri, Anguilliformes, Anguillidae. The transcript is spliced from 4 exons. The record is from RefSeq and is a predicted model, not a curated record.